Molecule: ribosomal RNA, 374 nt
Filed under: Vibrio parahaemolyticus
Lineage: Bacteria; Pseudomonadati; Pseudomonadota; Gammaproteobacteria; Vibrionales; Vibrionaceae
Description: partial 23S ribosomal RNA
Rfam family: Bacterial large subunit ribosomal RNA
Source: RNAcentral
GUGUUGUGAACUCGACGAGUAGGGCGGGACACGUGUUAUCCUGUCUGAAUAUGGGGGGACCAUCCUCCAAGGCUAAAUACUCCUGAUUGACCGAUAGUGAACCAGUACCGUGAGGGAAAGGCGAAAAGAACCCCGGCGAGGGGAGUGAAAUAGAACCUGAAACCGUGUACGUACAAGCAGUGGGAGCCUUGAUUUAUCAGGGUGACUGCGUACCUUUUGUAUAAUGGGUCAGCGACUUAUAUUCUGUAGCAAGGUUAACCGUAUAGGGGAGCCGUAGGGAAACCGAGUCUUAACUGGGCGAAUGAGUUGCAGGGUAUAGACCCGAAACCCGGUGAUCUAGCCAUGGGCAGGUUGAAGGUUGGGUAACACUAACU